UCCUACUGGAGGAGCCACGCGACAGAAGGUGAAUGAAAAAAAGGGCCUGAGGUUGGGGAGAGAAUUCUUGCCUAAGAAGGAGGGGCUAACUACGUGCCAGCAGCCGCGGUAAUACGUAGGGUGCGAGCGUUGUCCGGAAUUACUCCCCCGUAAAGAGCUCGUAGGUGGUUUGUCGCGUCGUCUGUGAAAUUCCGGGGCUUAACUUCGGGCGUGCAGGCGAUACGGGCAUAAUUUGAGUGCUGUAGGGGAGACUGGAAUUCCUGGUGUAGCGGUGGAAUGCGCAUAUAUCAGGAGGAACACCGAUGGCGAAGGCAGGUCUCUGGGCAGUAACUGACGCUGAGGAGCGAAAGCAUGGGGAGCGAACAUUAUUAGAUACCCUGGUAGUCCAUGCCGUAAACGGUGGGCGCUAGGUGUAGGGGUCUUCCACGACUUCUGUGCCGUAGCUAACGCAUUAAGCGCCCCCGCCUGGGGAGUACGGCCGCAAGGCUAAAACUCCAAUGAAUUGACGG
Molecule: ribosomal RNA, 509 nt
Filed under: uncultured bacterium
Lineage: Bacteria
Description: bacterial SSU rRNA
Rfam family: Bacterial small subunit ribosomal RNA
Source: RNAcentral